Molecule: transfer RNA, 65 nt
Filed under: Drosophila sucinea
Lineage: Eukaryota; Metazoa; Arthropoda; Insecta; Diptera; Drosophilidae
Description: tRNA-Asn
Source: RNAcentral
UAAUUGAAGCCAAAAAGAGGCUUAUCACUGUUAAUGAUACAAUUGAGUAUUUAACUCCAAUUAAG